UUUUUUUUUUUUUAAAGAUUUUAUUUAUCCAUUCAUGAGAGACACACACAGAGAGAAUGGCAGAGACACAGUCAGAGGGAGAAGCAGGCUCCAUGCAGGGAGCCCGACGUGGGACUCGAUCCCAGGAUUCCAGGAUCACACCCGGAGCCGGAAGACAGACGCCCAACCACCGAGCCACCCAAGAGUCCCGAAAUAUAGCUAAUCCAGUUAUAGGAUGACUAGCCAUAGUAGAUUAAGUGGAAAGUUUAUAUCUAAGAAUAUCUGCUAUGACCUGAGUGAGGAUAUGUAAUUGAAUUUCUUUCCACACAUACACACACACACACACACACACACACACACACACACACAUACGGGUGCAUGCAUGCACACACAUGCAUAUACACCUGCCUACACACAUCUCCAUAGAUCAUCUCUGGCUUUCAAAAUAAAUCACAAAAGAAUACUUUAAAGUAGAAAUGGGCAUCCUCAUGUAAAAAAAAUAGAAAGCAUCAUCUUUCAGGUUUUAUUGCAGUCUCUCAUUUUAUUCAUCAAGUGUUCAAGGAGAGCUGAGGAGUUGCGUGGGCUGAUUGCUUAGUUCUAUGUGUGUAUUGAAGAGAAACAGAAAACCCAUUGAGAUGUGUGCAUUACGGUGAUUAAGAAUCCAGGUGCUUCAGGUUUAAGAAUUUUAAAGAUGACUUUGAACAAAAUAUUUUCUUUUAGGUAUAGAGCUAGACACUCAUUCAAGGGUCCUGGAAAGACAACGGAGUUUGUUUUGCCACUUUUUGCCAAUAGAAUAUCAAAUUAAGGAAUUAUUUUACAUGUAUUAUUGGAAGGGAUGUUCGGAUUUGUUUCAGUCCUGGUUGGUGAGCAGUCUCUUACAAUUCCUGUUUAAUUCCACGUGUGGCUUCUUAAAGGAAAAUGCUCGUCUCUCUCCUCUCUGUCUGCACAGUUAAUGAUGAGAAGGGUUUGCCAAAUUUUGGGCUUGUCUUUCCUUCUUUCAGUCUUCCACUUGUUUUUCUUCUAUGCAGCUCUCAUUUUGGUUUAAAUACUAGAGGUAUUAUAAUAGUCUUCUACGUGGGAUAUUUUUGUUUUACUUUAAAAUACUUCAUAAGUCUAAACACAGAUCUAUACAAAAAGUAUCACACAUAUUUUACCUAUGUAGCACUGUCAGGUAUAAUGUCCACAGAAGCUCAGAGAGGGGGGUGAUUUGCCCAAUCACUUCUUGCUCUGGGGAAGUGUCAUUCCUCUGAUAACUGAGUCAGGUUAAACUCAGUUUACCAAGCUGCACUCUAUCCUAGCUGUGCUGUAACAGGAUAUUCUUCACAUCUACUCUCCUGUGACCCUUUUCCUGGUCCCAAAUUGUUCCUUUCCAGGAAGAGUGAGUAAGAUUACAGCCUUGGCCAGACAUUGUCAGCAUUUUACUGACAUUACCAAUGAAUAAUGUGCAAUAAUGUGCUUCUGGGUUUGUGCUUACCUGAUAGCCGGCCGGAGUCAUUGUUUUAUUUUACACUAGAUUCCAAUUUUAACACUGGGCACUGGCACUUGUUACAUCAGGACUUUCAUAGGUAGGAUGCUGGCAUCCUUUUAAUCAUGUUCUCCUCCUUUAACAUCUUUAGAACAUAUAUCUGUACUUGUUGUGGGUACAUAAUUGAUUCAGGUCUCCAAAUGCAAGCACUUGUGUUAGCUUUCAUAUUAACUUUGUGUUAGAAAGAGUCAAUAAAAUCACAGCUAGAGCCAUAUCUCAUUAGGGGCUCAUGUAUUUCUCAAGGCAAAACUCACUGGAUGCUUAGUGUUGAAUUUGUCAUUCGCUCAAGUCAUUGAAAAAUGGUAUCUCACACAAAAGACUAUAGGACUCUGUGAAGGGAGGGGCAUUACAUUUUACUUCUUUUAUCAUAAUGAACAAAGCAGGUUCUCAGGAAAAAAAAAAAAAGAUAUUGACCAGCUGUGUUGUUUAUAUUUGAGUUUCUCUGGGAUAUGCUUGCUCCUCUUGAAAACAGAACAAUCUAUUAACAUAAUGAAAUGCUGUAAGCCUAAUGCAUAGGUCAACAGCUGCUGUAAAGGACCUCAGUCUUUGGGACCAAGCAAGUUGAACAGGUUGGUUAUCCUCCAGUUCACUGUGUGAUAAUUUUGAGAUCUGCAUUUUAGUUUGAAAAUGGAAAGAAAAAUUCUCCCCUCCUUCUUUAUCAGCUAAGACCUUAGCUAACCUUUGCCAUAUACUCUGUUGGCAUGAUUAGAGAUAAGGCCAACAGCUUUUCCACCUCUUGGCUCCUCACCACCAGGAAAAUAUUAAGUAGUAAAAGAAAGAUCAGCACCAGGAAACUCAACAAUUUAUUUGCCAGAAAUCAAGACUUCGACCUAAUUCACAAACUUGUUUCAGUGAAAGAAUCUGCUGAUAGCUGGAAGACUCCUUUCCAGAGGGAGGCCGCUUUCCAUGCUGGGAGAAAAUGAAUGAUUCUAGGAGAUUCUUCUGCCUGAGAGAUUAAAUACACAAGCUGACAAUGGCCAGACCAUAUAUAAAAAUAGGACUGUGACCUACUAUCUGUAGCCACCAGUUCAGGAAACCAAUCCCCUGUUACUAGUAACCAGUUCUGGAAGCCAGCUAGCAGACUUAUAAAAGGUCAUAUCCACAUUUCUAGAAAACAGUCUAGGGAACCACCAAACAAUAGCCCUUUUUACGAUUGGCCUGAAGUGACCAGGACUUGAUCAAUAACUGACAGUGUUCCUAAUUUUUGUCUCUGCUUCUGACUUAGGACCAGCCAGAGAAAGCCAAAUGUGCACUCUAACCAAUCAUGUGGGAUGACCCACUUCCAGUUAGCCUGCCCACAGCCUCCCAUGUCAACAGCCACCAGUCAGGACGCAUCAGAAGCUUUCUCUUUUGUCCUCUAUGCAGCUUUCCCACUCCUCCCUUACUGAGUCUUGGCCACAACACAAGAGAGAGUGGCUGACUCUUUUCCUGUAGCAAAUUCUGAACAAAUAACCUGUGUCUGUUCUCAUUUGCUUGGUCUUCAUUUAUACCCUCAUGCCCCAAUGUUUCUUUUCCCAUCUUGUAUAGUAGUUAAGUUUGGGGCUCUGGAAACACACCAGUUACCUUUGUUUGAACACAGGCAUCAAUACUUGCCAGCUGUGUGGCCUUGGGUAGGCUACUUUUAACCCCUGUGUAUCAGUUUCCUCAUUGUAAAUGGGGUUGAUGACUGCAUUGCUCCAUAAGGUAUGUGAGUUAGAUGACUCGAUGCCCAUUAAAGCAUCUGGAACUAUCUAUUCUAAGUGCUACUGCUGGCCAUUUUAUCAGCCCUAUUACAAGUAAGCUCAUUGUCUCAUUACGCAUGUCUUUGACCUGCAUUAUCAGGCAUAAAUCCUGAUAAGAUAUAAAUCUAAUCUGGAAGAGGCAGGACUUGAAGCUGUUGACAUUUAUUCACAAAUUAACCUGAAUUAGUAUAGAAGAUUUAUUAACCUAGGAAGAAUCCUGAAAUUUGAUAUCAGCAGGCCUUGAGACAGGCUGUACACGUGUGGGUCUCUGGGGGCUUCAGUGGGCAUCAAAUGAACACCGAAGUGAGAGGACACUGGAGGUUUUAGGAUGCGGUUGUGGUUGUGAUUGUGGGGGGAGGAGGUUUGAGAAUGGACACCAGUGCUGUGAAAUCCAUCCACUUAAUGAGGCCGGGAUUUUCACGGUGGACACAGUCCUGGUCGCCUCAUAUAUUUUAAUAAUUGGUGGAAGUAGACGGAUCUCCUUCUCCAGGAGGAAUCCAGGGCUCCCUGUACAGAUUUUCUAUUUCUGUUCACCAGGAAGCUAUCUCAAGAAUUUCUCAUUUGUAACAUUCACCAAUUUGGACUGAGAAGAUCGGCUUUUCCCACCCUGCUGCUCUGCAACCUCCUGUAGAAUCAUGAAUCACUGUGUGGGUAGACAGGUCUCCUAGAGUUAAAGAAUUAAAAAAAAAAAAAAAAAAAAAAAAACCUUUGCUUGGUCAAAAGGCAAACCCAGUUUAUGUAUUUUUCUAGAAAAAUAGGUAGGGCAUGAGAUUUCUCUUGAUGGCAAUUGUGAACAGCCCCCUUAAGCAAAAAGUUCCUGAGUGGAUGUCAGUUCAAGCCCUGGGGUCCAGACCUGUGUGGGCAAAUAAGGAGAGCCCAGGUGUGAAAGGCCAGGAGCAGCGGCCCUUUGUCUCACAUUAAACUGAACCCUGCGUUCGGUGUGGGGUAGAUGGAUUAUGCUGUGUGCUGACAUGCCUGCUUCCAGAGUCUCUGAUGAAACAGCUUGGGUUUGAUCUCGAAGCAUUAAAACUUCACCUUGAAGUCCUCCUUUCACCUAACUGAGGAAGGGCCGCCUGCAGCAAAAGAAGUUACAGGGUUCUUCAUAUCCACUCUGCUGUUCAAAACUGAGACACGGGAGCAACAGGAAUUAUUUCUGCCUCAGUCUCUUUUGGAAAGAGCUGGAGUAUAAGCAUGUCAAAGACAAACCAAGAACAAACAAAAAUGAAACCCACAAAAAAAAAAACCCACAAACAAACAAAACCCCCAUUGGAGCCAGAGAAGUCCAGUUCUCCCUUUACCUCUGCUGAAAUACUCUGUUUUAUAAAAUUGGUUAGAACUACACCUGGCGGUUUUCCCUGACUACCCGAGGGGAAAGAAAUAAAAAUCUAGGAAAGAUUCCCUUACUGAGGCCUGGCUUAUUUUCUUACUUUCUGCGUCAAGUAGUCAAGUUAUUUACUUUGAAAGCUUCUGUAACUGAACAUGUAUAUUUGCUGAGCUAUUUCGAAUGGGUUCUAUUAUGCCUCAGCCUUUUUCAGUGAUGGACUUUGCACGUAGUUCUAAAGCCUGGUGGUGCAAUUUCUAACUGGGAGGCAUUCUCAAGGCAGGCUGAGUAAAAGCAGUAGCAUGGUUUAGGAAUAAACAUAAUCUCUUAAGAGUUGUUGUUGCAGAGUUUUUUGUUGAGCUCCAACAGGCGAGAGCAUGCAGCCUGGUUCAGGGAGUGUGCCCUUCUGGGGGUCGCCUUUGCCACCCGUGUAGUGGGAGUGAACCACCUGUCCUUACUUCUUCUGCUGCAGUUGUGAUGAGAGAAAUCCUAAUGGGUGAGUCAACUCCCGAAGUUGAAGCACAGAGAGGGAGGGUCCUGGUUCUUUGGAAGCCCCAGAGUCCCCCUCAAGUUAGCCAAGCAAAGGCUCACCUGAGUUGGCCAACCCCAUAGAGACCCAGGGCAAAACUGAAACACAGGUCCCUAGUGUGGUGAUCAAUGGGGAUUGUGCUAAGUCCUCAUAUAUAUAUUAUCACCUCUUUUGGUAUUUACAAAAACAGAAUAGGUACUGUUCCUUUUUUUGGUUCUGAGAGAGGGAGAGAGAAAGAGAGAGCAAGCAAGCAAAGCACAAAGAGAAAAGGGGCAGAGGGAGAGGGAGAGAGAGAAUCUUAAGUAGGCUCCAUGUCCAGUGCAGAGUCCAAUGUGGGGCUCCAUCUCAUGACCUUGAGAUCAUGACCUGAGCUGAAGUCAAGAGUCAGACGCUUAAUCAACUGAGCCACCCAGGCACCACUACUUUUUCUUUUAAAGAUGAGAAAAGGCUCAGAGAGGUUAAGAAACCUUCCCUAAAUCUCAUAGUGACACUAUAACUCUAGGAUCACUACAACUCUAGGAUCACUACUCUUCACCACUUCAAUGGUGACUUUAGGGCAAACUCCCAGGAAUCUGGAAUGUGGACCAGAUACCGGUAUUUUAUAAAGCAUCUGGAUGAUUCUAUUAUGAACCAGUGGUCUUCAGACCACUGAGAAACACUGAACUAUAUUACUAUUCACUGUCCUGCCACUAUUUAUUAUACACAUUUAUACCCUACUUGUUUCUUUAAAGAAUUGGGAACGAUUUAAAAAAAAGAGGUCACACAAACAAAAAGGUUAAAAAAAAUACUAGGGGACAUUAAAACUAAUAAGGAGACCAAGAGACAAAAAAAAAAAAAAAAAAAAAAAAAA
RNAcentral lists this long non-coding RNA (5925 nucleotides) under Canis lupus familiaris (dog). RNAcentral describes it as "lncRNA (ENSCAFG00845001043.1)". The record is from RNAcentral. Lineage: Eukaryota; Metazoa; Chordata; Mammalia; Carnivora; Canidae.